CAGUCGCCACGGUAAUACGUAGGUGGCAAGCGUUGUCCGGAAUCAUUGGGCGUAAAGGGCUCGCGGGCGGUUUCUUAAGUCUGAUGUGAAAGCCCCCGGCUCAACCGGGGAGGGUCAUUGGAAACUGGGAAACUUGAGUGCAGAAGAGGAGAGUGGAAUUCCACGUGUAGCGGUGAAAUGCGUAGAGAUGUGGAGGAACACCAGUGGCGAAGGCGACUCUCUGGUCUGUAACUGACGCUGAGGAGCGAAAGCGUGGGGAGCGAACAGGAUUAGAUACCCCCGUAGUCCCUGUCUCUUAUAA
Molecule: ribosomal RNA, 301 nt
Filed under: uncultured bacterium
Lineage: Bacteria
Description: partial 16S ribosomal RNA
Rfam family: Bacterial small subunit ribosomal RNA
Source: RNAcentral